This 235-nucleotide ribosomal RNA is filed under the name uncultured bacterium. RNAcentral describes it as "partial 16S ribosomal RNA". It matches the Rfam family "Bacterial small subunit ribosomal RNA", at positions 103 to 334 of the family's 1533-position model. The record is from RNAcentral.
CGGGUGAGUAACACGUAUGCAAUCCACCUGUAACAGGGGGAUAACCCGGAGAAAUCCGGACUAAUACCCCAUAAUAUGGGCGCUCCGCAUGGAGAGCCCAUUAAAGAGAGCAAUCUUGGUUACAGACGAGCAUGCGCUCCAUUAGCCAGUUGGCGGGGUAACGGCCCACCAAAGCGACGAUGGAUAGGGGUUCUGAGAGGAAGGUCCCCCACAUUGGAACUGAGACACGGUCCAG